UACGUAGGGUGCGAGCGUUGUCCGGAAUUACUGGGCGUAAAGAGCUUGUAGGUGGUUUGUCGCGUUGUUCGUGAAAUCUCACGGCUCAACUGUGAGCGUGCGGGCGAUACGGGCAGACUAGAGUACUGCAGGGGAGGCUGGAAUUCCUGGUGUAGCGGUGGAAUGCGCAGAUAUCAGGAGAAACACCGGUGGCGAAGGCGGGUCUCUGAGCAGUAACUGACGCUGAGAAGCGAAAGCGUGGGGAGCGAACAGG
RNAcentral lists this ribosomal RNA (253 nucleotides) under uncultured bacterium. Its description in RNAcentral is "partial 16S ribosomal RNA". It matches the Rfam family "Bacterial small subunit ribosomal RNA", at positions 524 to 776 of the family's 1533-position model. The record is from RNAcentral.